RNAcentral lists this ribosomal RNA (773 nucleotides) under uncultured Neocallimastigales. RNAcentral describes it as "partial large subunit ribosomal RNA". It matches the Rfam family "Eukaryotic large subunit ribosomal RNA", at positions 35 to 631 of the family's 3401-position model. The record is from RNAcentral. Lineage: Eukaryota; Fungi; Neocallimastigomycota; Neocallimastigomycetes; Neocallimastigales.
UAUGUGAUCGUCUCUCCAUAUCAAUAAGCGGAGGAAAAGAAACUAACAAGGAUUCCCCUAGUAACGGCGAGUGAAGCGGGAAGAGCUCAAAUUUGAAAUCUUAAAGGGUUUCCCUUUACGAAUUGUAGUUUAAAGAAGUGUUUUCUGUUGAGGUUUUGGUAAAAGUUCUUUGGAAUAGGACAUCAUAGAGGGUGAGAAUCCCGUAUUUGACCUUUACUUUCAACUUUGUGAUACACUUUCAAAGAGUCGGAUUGUUUGGGAAUGCAGUCCAAAAUGGGUGGUAAAUUUCAUCUAAAGCUAAAUAUUGGCGAGAGACCGAUAGCGAACAAGUACCGUGAGGGAAAGAUGAAAAGAACUUUGAAAAGAGAGUUAAACAGUACGUGAAAUUGUCAAAAGGGAAGCGUUUGACACCAGUGUUGUUUUUCUGAAAAUCAAUUAAAGAACUGUUUAUGCUAAGUUGUUUAGACUUUAUCAGCUAACUGUUUAGUUUAGAGCUUUUCUUUAAUGCACUUUUCAGUUAACAAGUCAACAUCAAUUUCUUUUGCUGUAAAAAAGCUUGAGGAAGGUGGCUUGAGAUUCGUCUUAAGUGUUUAUAGCCUCUUGCCUAUGCAGUCGGAGAGAUUGAGGUCUGCAGCGUAGAUCCUUCGGGGCUAAAUGCAUUUGUGCUAAGUUAUAGCAUUUUAUAGACAACUUGUUGACUAUGAUUUGUCUUGUAGCUUACUCGCUUAUGUUAUUUUACCUACGCUUAGGAUGUUGAUCUACAGAGCGAGAGU